UACGGAGGGUGCGAGCGUUGUUCGGAUUCAUUGGGCGUAAAGGGUGCGUAGGUGGCGCCGUAAGUCGGGUGUGAAAUUUCGGAGCUUAACUCCGAAACUGCAUUCGAUACUGCGGUGCUUGAGGACUGGAGAGGAGACUGGAAUUCAUGGUGUAGCAGUGAAAUGCGUAGAGAUCAUGAGGAAGACCAGUGGCGAAGGCGGGUCUCUGGACAGUUCCUGACACUGAGGCACGAAGGCCAGGGGAGCAAACGGG
This 253-nucleotide ribosomal RNA is filed under the name uncultured bacterium. RNAcentral's name for it is "partial 16S ribosomal RNA". It matches the Rfam family "Bacterial small subunit ribosomal RNA", at positions 524 to 776 of the family's 1533-position model. The record is from RNAcentral.